Molecule: ribosomal RNA, 254 nt
Filed under: uncultured bacterium
Lineage: Bacteria
Description: partial 16S ribosomal RNA
Rfam family: Bacterial small subunit ribosomal RNA
Source: RNAcentral
UACGGAGGGGGCAAGCGUUGUUCGGAAUUACUGGGCGUAAAGGGCGCGCAGGCGGCUGCUCAAGUCAGGCGUGAAAGGCCUGGGCUCAACCCGGGAAUUGCGCUUGAGACUGGGCUGGCUUGAGUGCGGGAGAGGAUGGUGGAAUUCCCAGUGUAGAGGUGAAAUUCGUAGAUAUUGGGAAGAACACCGGUGGCGAAGGCGGCUCACUGGACUGGUAUUGACGCUGAGGUGCGAAAGCGUGGGGAGCAAACAGG